Aricia agestis (brown argus) is the source of this 234-nucleotide long non-coding RNA. RefSeq lists it as uncharacterized. The record is from RefSeq and is a predicted model, not a curated record. The transcript is spliced from 3 exons. NCBI's taxonomy places the organism in Eukaryota, Metazoa, Arthropoda, Insecta, Lepidoptera, Lycaenidae.
UUCAAAUUAUUUCUAAUUAAUAUUAAAGAGCCACCUCUGAUGGCGUUUUUUCUACUGAACGAACUUGCUACUUGGUGAUCAUGGAGAUUGAAAAUGAGUUCAUGUUCCCUAAACCAGUGUUCUGAAAUACAAAUAAUAUCAAUAUUAAACUCUUUUAGAAACAACUCAAUUUCAAGCUCUUUACCUACCAUUCCUUGUAAAUUCUGAUGCACCAAUUUAAUCACAUUAUAUUUA